This 433-nucleotide ribosomal RNA is filed under the name uncultured bacterium. RNAcentral describes it as "partial 16S ribosomal RNA". It matches the Rfam family "Bacterial small subunit ribosomal RNA", at positions 29 to 507 of the family's 1533-position model. The record is from RNAcentral.
AACGAACGCUGGCGGCAUGCCUAACACAUGCAAGUCGAACGACACCUUCGGGUGUAGUGGCGCACGGGGGCGUAACGCGGCGGAACCUGCCCUUAUGCUCGGAAUAACUCUCCGUCAGGGGUGCUAAUACAGGGUAACGUAUUCUGACCCAAGAUAUAUCGUCUUGGGAUGGGCCCGCGUUGGAUUAGCUAGUUGGUAGGGUAAAAGCCUACCAAGGCGUGGCUCCAUAGCUGGGCAGAGAGAAUGAUCAGCGACACUUGGACUGAGACACGGGCCGGACUCUUGCGGGAGGGGGCAGUGGGGAAUAUAGGACAACGGGGGAAGGCCUGAUGCAGCAAUGCCGCGUGAGUGAUGAAGGCCUUAGGGUUGUAAAGCUCUUUUACCCGGGAUGAUAAUGACAGUACCGGGAGAAUAAGCUCCGGCUAACUCCGUG